Papio anubis (olive baboon) is the source of this 102-nucleotide non-coding RNA. The record is from Rfam. Lineage: Eukaryota; Metazoa; Chordata; Mammalia; Primates; Cercopithecidae.
UAUUAGGUUGGUGCAAAAGUAAUUGUGGUUUUCACCAUUAAUAAUAAUUUUACCAUUAUUUUUAAUGGUGAAAACCUCAAUUACUUUUGCACCAACCUAAUA